GCGGAUAGAUCAUAAAUGCUGGAAUGCUUUAUGAUUGAAAGGUUUCGACCGCCUUAGGAUGGAUCUGCGGCCUAUCAGGUUGUAGUGGGUGUAAUGUACCUACUAGCCUACGACGGGUACGGGUUGUGGAAGCAAGAGCCCGGAGAUGGAUUCUGAGACAUGAAUCCAGGCCCUACGGGGCGCAGCAGGCGCGAAAACUUUACAAUGCGGGAAACCGUGAUAAGGGAACACUGAGUGCUAGCAUUUAUGUUAGCUGUCCACAUGUGUAAAUAGCAUGUGAUAGCAAGGGCUGGGCAAGACCGGUGCCAGCCGCCGCGGUAACACCGGCAGCCCGAGUGGUGAUCACUAUUAUUGGGUCUAAAGGGUCCAUAGCCGGUUUAAUCAGUCUUCUGGGAAAUCUAAUCGCUUAACUAUUAGGCUUCCAGGGGAUACUGUUAGACUUGGGACCGGGAGAGGUAAGAGGUACUGCAGGGGUAGGAGUGAAAUCUUGUAAUCCCUGUGAGACCACCAGUGGCGAAGGCGUCUUACCAGAACGGGUCCGACGGUGAGGGACGAAAGCUGGGGGCACGAACCGGAUUAGAUACCCGGGUAGUCCCAGCUGUAAACGAUGCUCGUUAC
Molecule: ribosomal RNA, 618 nt
Filed under: uncultured archaeon
Lineage: Archaea
Description: bacterial SSU rRNA
Rfam family: Archaeal small subunit ribosomal RNA
Source: RNAcentral